RNAcentral lists this long non-coding RNA (4945 nucleotides) under Canis lupus familiaris (dog). RNAcentral's name for it is "lncRNA (ENSCAFG00030019068.1)". Lineage: Eukaryota; Metazoa; Chordata; Mammalia; Carnivora; Canidae. The record is from RNAcentral.
AGGGGGGAGACCCGGGACUGUAAUUCAACAUUUGCCCCCAUUCAUUUUAUGGCUCUCACAACCCGUAGCCGUAUUACAGAGAAAAGGGAGGGUCUCCUCAUCGCCCAAUAGUUACAUGAGGAAAGGUCUGGGGGACUUUUCCUGUUGCAUUUUUCUCCUCCCUGGCCUCUGUUUCCAGACUGCUGGAGAGCACAGAUCACCAGAGGCUUUCUGGAUGCUUGAGGGGCCGGCGUGGGGUGGGGGAUGCAAUUCAGAGCAGCAAGUGAUUCAGAGUUAACUCGCUGGGUGUCUGGAAAGGCCUGACGAAACGCAGCGCAGAAAAUUAGCCUGUAAAACAGCUAUAAAAUCUGAGUCACGGCAUCAUAAAAAUGCCAACUGACCAAGAACAAUAGAUAUUGCAAGCAGCCAGGAACAGGGCCGGUUCCCAUACGCACAGGCCUGGAAAUACCCUUCCCUCUCAGAACCUCCUUGCCAUGCUGUUAAUGGAGCCAGCUCUGAAAUAAACACCAGCGUAUGGAAAAGGAUGGAUCCACCCUGGAAGGUGGAGAUCACCAGAAUGAGGAGGGGCACUCCUGGAGCCCCCUGCACAACUCAGCAUCCUGGUGGCGAGGAAGAACAUGGGAUCUGGGUGGACACAUGGACUCCCCUCAGGCUUCAUCUUCACAAACCGAAUGACCUCUGGCAAGGGACUUACCUCAGUUCUGCAUCUGUAAACUGCAGAUUUACCCCCAUAGGUCUAUUGUGAAAUUAGAUGAAAAAAACCUUUAAUUGUAAAGUGUUUGCACUAGUCCCUGGCAUAAAGUGCUCAAAAGUUGGUGAAGCUAAAGGAGAGUGGAGGGGUGGUGACCCAGGGAAAGAAGGAUGGAAUGGAGUGCAUUCAAACCCCUCCACCAAUAUUCUGCAUCCGGGCAUUCCCAUGGCACCUACUACACACUGCUCUUAGCACUUCCAUGGUUAGACACCGCCCUCUCAAUCACCCCAUGAAAUGGGUGCUCUCUCUAUCUCCAUAUCAAAGAUGAGAAGUCAAGCUCAGAGAGGUUGAGUGGGCAGUCCAAGGUCACACUGGCCAACAGGCGGUCAAGGGGAAGUAUGCCUUGGCUGGCUGGCUCCAGAGUCCCCAUUCUCAACCACUCCCCGCUCCCUAGGCCAUGUGAACUAAACACUUAAUCCUCCCAGCAACCCCAUGAGCUGGGCACCAGUAUGGUCUCCAGUGUGUGCAUGAAGAAAUUGAAGCAGGAAGAGGUUAACUGGUUUCAAGGUAGAGAAAACUUCACCUGAGCUUAAUAUCACCGAUGCUAGCAGCACCAGCAAUAAGGAUCAGCAUGUACUGUGAUGCAUUAUGUACCAGGCACUGUCCUAACCACUGUGCCUAUCGUAGAUACAUUAACUUGCUACAUCUUUUCAAUUACUCCAUGGCACGGAUUCUAUUAUGACUUUACCUGUUGCCUGAGGCCAAGCAUAAACAUCAGAAAUGGCUGCUGUAGGUGAGAUAGGUGGUGAGGGGCAGAACAGAGACUCCACCCCAGGACAGGUUGGCUUCAGACCCUCCCUCAAAACCCCUGUGCUGUGCACAAGCACACACACACACACACACACACACAUAAUCACACAAGAUACAAUAUUGAGCUAUGUUCUUAACUGCUAUUCUAUAUGUUAAAAGUCAAAUCAUUGGGCACCUGGGUGGCUCAGUCAGUGAAGCGUCUGACUUCGGCUCAGGUCAUGAUCUCAGGGUCCCGGGAUCAAGCUCCAUGUUGGGCUCCUUGCUCAGCGGAGAGUCUGCCUCUCCCUCUCCCUCUGCCCCUCCCCUUGCUCGUGUUCUCUCUCUCUCUCUCUCAAAUAAAUAAAUAAAAUAUUUUUUAAAAAAGGUAAAUCCUGGGACACCCAGAUGGCUCAGUGGUUGAGCAUCUGCCUUUGGCUCAGGUUGUGAUCCUGGGGUCCUGGGAUCGAGUCCCACAUCAGGCUCCCCUCAGGGAGUGUCUCUACCUCUCUCUCUCUGUGUCUCCAUGAAUGAAUAAAUAAAAUCUUUAUAAAAAAGUUAAAUUGUGAAUUCUUCCAAACAUAAAAAUUUAGGAUCUGUACUCUUCAACCCACAAAUGUCCUAUGAGGAGGGGGUGCUUUAAAUUGCUUCUGGAGCCACUUUUCACAAUUCUUUACUCCAAGAGAAACCUUAGCCAACACUAGUGAGUUUGACACCAGCAUUUGCAGGAUGUGGAUUUGCUGUUUCUUUUUCUAUUAAAAGAGGAGUCCUCUUCGAGGCAUCCCCAGGGUUGUUGGUUUUGUAAAUAAAAAUACAGGAGCUCAGUUAAGUUUGAAUUUCAGAUAAACAACAAAUAAUUUUUAACCUAAGUAUGUCCCAAAUUGCAGCCCAACCUAUAUCUUAUCUGUUGACUGUAUUUUUGAUAUAAAUGUAUCCCAAAUUGUGUUGUGUGUCCUUAUCCUUUAUCUAGUCACCCUGCCACUGAGCACUUGAGUGGAAAUUUCACACAGAGUGAAGUGAGGGCUGCCACUUACUUCUUAAAUUUUGUGUCAGAAAUGGAGUUUAGCAAUACAGGGCUCUCCUAAGUACAUUAUUUCCACCUCAAAACCAUCUGACUUGCUCUGUUGGUCAAGUUUAUGCCACAUUCCGUUCUGCCAAUUACAGAGAGUAGACCUACAGGAGUUUCCAUCCCCAGAGAAAGCGGGUACCUGCAGAAUCAGGGGAGAGACUCAUUUGUUGUCAGUUUAUCUCCUCAAAAUGCACCCCACCUUAGAUUCUUCUUUCCUGGGUAGUAAUAGUAAAAUACGCUAAUUCAAGUACUUAGAAACCUCACCCUGCUGUGGUUCAUCAUGCAAAAUUAGUUCUUUAGAAAUAGGGCAAAUUCUUCAUUGAAAUGAACUACCUUUGAGGAAGUGAAUUUUUCUUGAUAUCUCACACUUCCUAGUAAUAAUUAUAAUUCCCAUUAUAAUUAUUCACUUGGUUGUGUGAACAGAACUAUCCUAUUAUGUAAAUUGUGUGCAAUUGCUUAAUAACAUAAAAGAAGUUUUAAUCCAUCUGUUUUUCAGAGUAGAAAUGACCUGAUCUAAAUAUUUCUUUUUGACAGAGGUGAAUUAUUCUCAGCUAAGAAUUAGGAAGAAGUAGCAGGUUGGAAAAGCUGAAUAUACACUUAAUACUCCCGCUAGCAAGCAGAGAAGCUAGUUUUAUUCAACUCACUGAACAAAUGUGAUAUUAAGUGGGCUUCACCAAAUAUAUAUUGGGAUAAAAAACAAUGUCUAUCUUUUAGUCCCAUAUGAUUUAAUGAAAUUCAUGCACCACUGAUUUGUUAUAAAUUAGAGAUUAGUGUCAUUUUGGGGUUUGGUUUAAAAUACAAGGUGCCAAAGAUGAAUUAACUUUACACAUGUUCAGAGAAAUUGUAUUGGGUUCACCCAAGUAGAACAAAAGAGAGGUAGUUAUUAAGGAAAGGGAUAAAAUCGGAGACAGAAGUUAUCUGAAAGAAGCAGUGAUCUGUUCAGAUGUUACAGACAAGGAAGCUUAGAGAAAACACUUAAGAAUUCACACACCCUAAGGAAGCCCCACCAGGCUUGGAGCUGAUGAUACUGUGGACCAUUAGCCAGGGCUGAGAAUCUCAAGAGCUUUCACAAUCAAAGGAUGAGCAACUGGCCACUCCAUAUAUUCUCCUUUUCCUGUGUACUCAAAUUUGAAUGCACUGAGAGAUCAGAGCAGAAAUUUGACUAAGGAUUCCGGGUUAAACCCAUGGAACCAGAGAGUAUGUUUAUUGAAGUGUGUAGAUCCUCCAAGCCCUGGCUAGUUGUUCCCAUGUAGGAACAGUUCUCCCAGCUUCAAGAGACUCCAAAAAUCUAGAUUUUUAUGUGAAAAUUUCCAAAGUUUUCAUCUUAGAUACUAAUACAACCAAAGUUUUAAAAAACUAAAACCAUAGUGUGGAAUAAGAAAACAAGGCUACAGAUGAAUCCAGGCUAUUGAUCAUUAAUUCGUUACCUUUACACAAGCUCACCGUGGGAAGUAUUUUGUACAACAUAACACCUGAGAGAGGCUGUACUUGCAGUGCCAAUAGGAGGUGGGGGCUUUGGGCAUCACAAUUUCCUUGUUCUAGGAAGUUCUGCUGUGACACAGCAGGUUAGAAUCCAGUGCCAUAGGUUUGGUGCAUGAAUUCUCUUCCUUGGCCAGUCCUAGGUUCUCAGUUGCCUGCCUUGUCUCCUGGAGCUUCCCCGGGUUUUAAUAUUUGCCCCAUUUUCCUUGUAAUAUGACUCUGGGCUAAUUUUCUGGAUUAUCUGGGUCCUUGGAAAACAAGACAAAUAUUCAUCCAAGGCAGAGGUUUUUAAGUGACCCAAAGCAAAGGAGACUUUGUUUAAUUCGGAAAAUCUCAUUUAAAGAAAUACUACAAAUAUCUUCAAUACCCUGUUGGGAGAAUUUCCCAUCCCCUUGACUGGCGACACCAACUUUUGUCUAGCCCACCUCCUUAAUGCUGGAAUUAACAACAUGCGGUAUAUUAAAAGAACAGUGGGCCAGGAAUCAUGAGGAUUCAGGUUCUAGUUCUGUGUCAAAAACCAGUAACUGGGUGACUUGGACAUACCCUCUUCCCCUAAACUAAUUAGACGAGUCACUGUUUCCAUUCACAACCAUGGCGAAGAGAUUUUGGCAUAUCUCUGAAUCCCAUGAUGGGACAGGCUUGUGCACAUGCUGGUGGCACUCCCCGGGUAUUUAGUCAAGUGCUAAUCCACGUGUGUUGCUCUGAAAGCAUUUUGUAGAUGUGACUAAUACCCUUGCUCAACUGGCUUUAAAUACAAGAGAUUUUUAUAGAUGAUCUGGACCGGGUCGACUUCAUAAGCUAAAAGACCCUUAAAAAGCAGAGCUGAGGCUUCCCUGCCUAUAGAACAGGAGUUUCAAGCUAUGCCUGAGAGCUCCAGGCUGCCCCUCCUAUGGCAUGCCUCAAGGAUUCCAGAUUUCCAC